This is a long non-coding RNA of Capsicum annuum, 365 nucleotides long. RefSeq lists it as uncharacterized. Lineage: Eukaryota; Viridiplantae; Streptophyta; Magnoliopsida; Solanales; Solanaceae. The transcript is spliced from 3 exons. The record is from RefSeq and is a predicted model, not a curated record.
AUAAUGCACUUUCUCCACAUGCAACAAUAAUUGAAGUCCUCAUCACAAUUUAUCUGAAGGCAACUCUUUGUUAUCUAAAAUUAAUUAAUACCAUUUUAUUCACUCAGAGAGUAUAUUGUUGCAGUGAUCAGUUGCUUCUUCCCAAAUUUAUAGAAUUGAAAGAUCUUAGUACGAGUGCGCCGCAUGACAACUGAGUUCGGGCGGAGACUAGUCAUAUCUGAGGUAGUGGCCGCUCUAUGCGUCUAGAGUCGACCUCCUACCUCAUCCUAUCUAGUUUUAUAUCUAGUUUUGUAUUCGCAGACAGAUUUUUGUACUUUUGGAUCAUCAGUUCUAUUUUCAAACUCUGAGAUAUAUUUACAUUGUUC